UUGCAUGAUGACAAACACUACGAAUUCUUCAUAAUUUCUGGUACCUCUUAUGUCAGGAGGGAAGCCCAGCAGGGUUCUCUUCGAUGAUCUAAAUGGACUUCUGAAC
RNAcentral lists this small nucleolar RNA (106 nucleotides) under Cladophialophora psammophila CBS 110553. RNAcentral's name for it is "A. fumigatus snoRNA Afu_264". It matches the Rfam family "A. fumigatus snoRNA Afu_264". Lineage: Eukaryota; Fungi; Ascomycota; Eurotiomycetes; Chaetothyriales; Herpotrichiellaceae. The record is from Rfam by way of RNAcentral.